This 454-nucleotide ribosomal RNA is filed under the name uncultured bacterium. RNAcentral's name for it is "bacterial SSU rRNA". It matches the Rfam family "Bacterial small subunit ribosomal RNA", at positions 340 to 786 of the family's 1533-position model. The record is from RNAcentral.
UACGGAAGGCAGCAGUGGGGAAUAUUGCACAAUGGGCGAAAGCCUGAUGCAGCUAUGCCGCGUGUAUGAAGAAGGCCUUAGGGUUGUAAAGUACUUUCAUCGGGAAGGAAAAACAAAACUAAUAAUUUUAUUUCUUGACGUUACCCGAAAAAGAAGCACCGGCUAACUCCGUGCCAGCAGCCGCGGUAAUACGGAGGGUGCUAGCGUUAAUCAGAAUUACUGGGCGUAAAGAGCACGUAGGUGGUUUUUUUAAGUCAGAUGUGAAAUCCCUGGGCUUAACCUGGAACUGCAUUUUGAAACUGAAAUACUAGAGUAUCGUAGAGGGAGGUAGAAUUCUAGGUGUAGCGGUGAAAUGCGUAGAUAUCUGGAGGAAUACCUGUGGCGAAAGCGGCCUCCUAAACGAAUACUGACACUGAGGUGCGAAAGCGUGGGGAGCAAACAGGGAUUAGAUACC